GAUGAACGCUGGCGGCGUGCUUAAUACAUGCAAGUCGAGCGGACGGACGAGAUGCUUGUUUCUGUGAUGUUAGCGGCGGACGAGUGCGUAACAAGUGGAGAGCAACCAUAUCAGACUGGGAUAACUACGGCAACCAGGAGUUACUACCGGAGGAUAUUUUGAACCGGAUGGGUGAAAGGUGUAAGAAGGUCUUGCUGUCACUGAUAGAUGGAUCCGCGCCGCAUUAGCUUGUUGGUACGGUAAUGGCUUACCAAGGCACCGAGGCAUAGCCGGCCUGAGAGGGUGAUCGGCCACACUAGAAGGGAUACACCGCCCAGACUCCUACUGGGGGCAGCAGUAGGGAAUCUUCCGCAACAGGCGAAAGCCGGACGGAGCAACGCCGCGUGGGGGAGGAAGGUCUUCGGAGCGUAAAGCACUGUUAUUAGGGGUGAACAACUGCGUAUGUAACUGUGCACAGCUUGACGGUACCUGAUCAAAAAGCCACGGCUAACUACGUG
RNAcentral lists this ribosomal RNA (497 nucleotides) under uncultured bacterium. Its description in RNAcentral is "partial 16S ribosomal RNA". It matches the Rfam family "Bacterial small subunit ribosomal RNA", at positions 28 to 507 of the family's 1533-position model. The record is from RNAcentral.